RNAcentral lists this unclassified non-coding RNA (615 nucleotides) under Orbicella faveolata. Its description in RNAcentral is "protein ripply1-like, transcript variant X1". Lineage: Eukaryota; Metazoa; Cnidaria; Anthozoa; Scleractinia; Merulinidae. The record is from RNAcentral.
GAAAUUUGCAUUAGUUUUGCCGCCUGAAAAGUACCAAUUCGCUUUUUAAAUGUGUGAAUUCAUACUCUGUGUUUACAAGUUUACGGCACGAGCAGUGCGAAGCACACGGUGUUGUGGAAGCCCUUUGACGGUCAAAACAAUAAGUUGUCUUUGAGAGCUCGAGUGAUUGGCCGAGUGCAGCCCUAAGGUGUGAAAAUUUCCUGGCUCUGGACGACACACUAGGCACGUCCAGACUAUAUUUUGGCGCUUCUACGACAUUUUGCCAAAGAUUUCACACGUUCCUGAACUCUUCCCUCUUGAUAAAGCUCAAAUACGAUUUACGCGGCAAGAAGAUCUUUACGUGACUCAUGGAAAACUGAGCAAGCUAAAAAGAAGGACCUGUUGUAGCUAAAAGGAUCUUUUAUACUGAAGCCACAAGAUGAACAAAAUUUGGCGCCCUUGGGUAGAGAGUCCCCAGGACUGCCAGAGAAAACGCCGACCACGAUACACGCCCUAUGGACAGCCGAGUACAACAGGAAAUAUACAGCAACAACCACAAUUUAAACAUCCAGUCAGGUAAUUUUAGUACACAAGAAUCAGUAAAACUUGGAGACGUUAUCUGUCGUUAUUGAAACG